Molecule: ribosomal RNA, 1401 nt
Filed under: Lacticaseibacillus rhamnosus
Lineage: Bacteria; Bacillati; Bacillota; Bacilli; Lactobacillales; Lactobacillaceae
Description: bacterial SSU rRNA
Rfam family: Bacterial small subunit ribosomal RNA
Source: RNAcentral
GCUUGCAUCUUGAUUUAAUUUUGAACGAGUGGCGGACGGGUGAGUAACACGUGGGUAACCUGCCCUUAAGUGGGGGAUAACAUUUGGAAACAGAUGCUAAUACCGCAUAAAUCCAAGAACCGCAUGGUUCUUGGCUGAAAGAUGGCGUAAGCUAUCGCUUUUGGAUGGACCCGCGGCGUAUUAGCUAGUUGGUGAGGUAACGGCUCACCAAGGCAAUGAUACGUAGCCGAACUGAGAGGUUGAUCGGCCACAUUGGGACUGAGACACGGCCCAAACUCCUACGGGAGGCAGCAGUAGGGAAUCUUCCACAAUGGACGCAAGUCUGAUGGAGCAACGCCGCGUGAGUGAAGAAGGCUUUCGGGUCGUAAAACUCUGUUGUUGGAGAAGAAUGGUCGGCAGAGUAACUGUUGUCGGCGUGACGGUAUCCAACCAGAAAGCCACGGCUAACUACGUGCCAGCAGCCGCGGUAAUACGUAGGUGGCAAGCGUUAUCCGGAUUUAUUGGGCGUAAAGCGAGCGCAGGCGGUUUUUUAAGUCUGAUGUGAAAGCCCUCGGCUUAACCGAGGAAGUGCAUCGGAAACUGGGAAACUUGAGUGCAGAAGAGGACAGUGGAACUCCAUGUGUAGCGGUGAAAUGCGUAGAUAUAUGGAAGAACACCAGUGGCGAAGGCGGCUGUCUGGUCUGUAACUGACGCUGAGGCUCGAAAGCAUGGGUAGCGAACAGGAUUAGAUACCCUGGUAGUCCAUGCCGUAAACGAUGAAUGCUAGGUGUUGGAGGGUUUCCGCCCUUCAGUGCCGCAGCUAACGCAUUAAGCAUUCCGCCUGGGGAGUACGACCGCAAGGUUGAAACUCAAAGGAAUUGACGGGGGCCCGCACAAGCGGUGGAGCAUGUGGUUUAAUUCGAAGCAACGCGAAGAACCUUACCAGGUCUUGACAUCUUUUGAUCACCUGAGAGAUCAGGUUUCCCCUUCGGGGGCAAAAUGACAGGUGGUGCAUGGUUGUCGUCAGCUCGUGUCGUGAGAUGUUGGGUUAAGUCCCGCAACGAGCGCAACCCUUAUGACUAGUUGCCAGCAUUUAGUUGGGCACUCUAGUAAGACUGCCGGUGACAAACCGGAGGAAGGUGGGGAUGACGUCAAAUCAUCAUGCCCCUUAUGACCUGGGCUACACACGUGCUACAAUGGAUGGUACAACGAGUUGCGAGACCGCGAGGUCAAGCUAAUCUCUUAAAGCCAUUCUCAGUUCGGACUGUAGGCUGCAACUCGCCUACACGAAGUCGGAAUCGCUAGUAAUCGCGGAUCAGCACGCCGCGGUGAAUACGUUCCCGGGCCUUGUACACACCGCCCGUCACACCAUGAGAGUUUGUAACACCCGAAGCCGGUGGCGUAACCCUUUUAGGGAGCGAG